GACGAACGCUGGCGGCGUGCUUAACACAUGCAAGUCGAGCGGUAAGGCCCUUUCGGGGGUACACGAGCGGCGAACGGGUGAGUAACACGUGGGUGACCUGCCCUCAGCUCUGGGAUAAAGCCUGGGAAACCGGGUCUAAUACUGGAUAUGACUCCAUGACGCAUGUUGUGGGGUGGAAAGCCUUGUGCGGCUGAGGAUGGGCCCGCGGCCUAUCAGCUUGUUGGGGGGUGAUGGCCUACCAAGGCGACGACGGGUAGCCGGCCUGAGAGGGCGACCGGCCACACUGGGACUGAGACACGGCCCAGACUCCUACGGGAGGCAGCAGUGGGGAAUCUUGCGCAAUGGGCGAAAGCCUGACGCAGCGACGCCGCGUGAGGGAUGACGGCCU
RNAcentral lists this ribosomal RNA (388 nucleotides) under uncultured bacterium. Its description in RNAcentral is "bacterial SSU rRNA". It matches the Rfam family "Bacterial small subunit ribosomal RNA", at positions 28 to 417 of the family's 1533-position model. The record is from RNAcentral.